GUAGUACUCCCUCCGUCUAACAAAAGACGUCUUAAAGUUUUCGAAAUUUGAAUGUAUCGAGACAUAACUUUGUGUAUAAAUGCAUUCAAAUUUAGUCAAAAUUGAGACAUUUUUUGUUGGACGGACGAAGUAAUUA
Non-coding RNA from Brachypodium distachyon (stiff brome), 136 nucleotides. Lineage: Eukaryota; Viridiplantae; Streptophyta; Magnoliopsida; Poales; Poaceae. The record is from Rfam.